This 582-nucleotide ribosomal RNA is filed under the name uncultured bacterium. Its description in RNAcentral is "bacterial SSU rRNA". It matches the Rfam family "Bacterial small subunit ribosomal RNA", at positions 102 to 680 of the family's 1533-position model. The record is from RNAcentral.
ACGGGUGAGUAAUGUCUGGGAAACUGCCCGAUGGAGGGGGAUAACUACUGGAAACGGUAGCUAAUACCGCAUAACGUCGCAAGACCAAAGUGGGGGACCUUCGGGCCUCACACCAUCGGAUGUGCCCAGAUGGGAUUAGCUAGUAGGUGGGGUAAUGGCUCACCUAGGCGACGAUCCCUAGCUGGUCUGAGAGGAUGACCAGCCACACUGGAACUGAGACACGGUCCAGACUCCUACGGGAGGCAGCAGUGGGGAAUAUUGCACAAUGGGCGCAAGCCUGAUGCAGCCAUGCCGCGUGUAUGAAGAAGGCCUUCGGGUUGUAAAGUACUUUCAGCGGGGAGGAAGGCGGUGAAGUUAAUAGCUUCACCGAUUGACGUUACCCGCAGAAGAAGCACCGGCUAACUCCGUGCCAGCGGCCGCGGUAAUACGGAGGGUGCAAGCGUUAAUCGGAAUUACUGGGCGUAAAGCGCACGCAGGCGGUCUGUCAAGUCGGAUGUGAAAUCCCCGGGCUUAACCUGGGAACUGCAUUCGAAACUGGCAGGCUGGAGUCUUGUAGAGGGGGGUAGAAUUCCAGGUGUAGCG